UGCUGGUCCAAACAUGGUGAGUUACUGUGAUCAUUCACAGUCAAUUACAGACCUACUUACAGAUCUGCCUUCUCCCCACUUCCCACUACUGUAUUUGAUUAGUCUUUA
This is an unclassified non-coding RNA of Gorilla gorilla gorilla (western lowland gorilla), 108 nucleotides long. It matches the Rfam family "Y RNA". From Rfam's summary of the family: Y RNAs are components of the Ro ribonucleoprotein particle (Ro RNP), in association with Ro60 and La proteins. The Y RNAs and Ro60 and La proteins are well conserved, but the function of the Ro RNP is not known. In humans the RNA component can be one of four small RNAs -- hY1, hY3, hY4 and hY5. The record is from Ensembl. Lineage: Eukaryota; Metazoa; Chordata; Mammalia; Primates; Hominidae.